RNAcentral lists this ribosomal RNA (407 nucleotides) under uncultured bacterium. RNAcentral describes it as "partial 16S ribosomal RNA". It matches the Rfam family "Bacterial small subunit ribosomal RNA", at positions 30 to 526 of the family's 1533-position model. The record is from RNAcentral.
AUUGAACGCUGGCGGCAGGCCUAACACAUGCAAGUCGAGCGGAGCGGCGGACGGGUGAGUAAUGCCUAGGAAUCUGCCUGGUAGUGAGGGAUCAAGUCCGGAAACGGGCGCUAAUACCGCAUACUAUCAGAUGAGCCUAGGUCGGAUUAGCUAGUUGGUGGGGUAAUGGCUCACCAAGGCGACGAUCCGUAACUGGGCUGAGAGGAUGAUCAGUCACACUGGAACUGAGACACGGCCCAGACUCCUACGGGAGGCAGCAGUGGGGAAUAUUGGACAAUGGGCGAAAGCCUGAUCCAGCCAUGCCGCGUGUGUGAAGAAGGUCUUCGGAUUGUAAAGCACUUUAAGUUGGGAGGCGUUACCCGCAGAAGAAGCACCGGCUAACUCCGUGCCAGCAGCCGCGGUAAUAC